AAUGUAUGUUUGUCAGGUGGCAGUAUUGCCUCAAGAAUUCAUAACGGUUAGAAACCGUGCAGUUUUAGUGUUGAAGUGUAUUCUUGGACAGUGGUAGUGAAACUAUGCAGUUUUAGUUUUUCAGCAAAUACCAACAAGAGUGGUGUUUCAUUAAUCUAAACCACGCAUUUCUACUUUGGAAUGGCAUCAGGUGUGAUAAGUGGCCCUAAUGCAAAUGGUCUAACAGUUACAGGUGAUACAAGGCAUAAUAUUAAUACCAAUAGUAAUAGUGCUAAUCAAUUACGUGACUGUGUUUGUUUAAUUUUACGAUGGUUAAUUGAAGACAAAUUUGCACUUAUUCAGGAUGAAGGUGGGCGAGGCUAUUGGUUUCCUUACAAAAUUAUCUUGACCAACCAAAGUUGGUAUGAAGGUGUAUCAGAAGUUAAAGAACAGUUUAUGAACUUUGAAAUAUCUUGGAAAUUGGUCCACAUGAUUCGUCAAAAAAUAAAACCUAUCAGUUGUUACAACACUCUAGCCAUCUUUUAUGCAGAAGUGGACUUCAGUCUUUUGAAAUUAAACUUGGAAGUGGAGAACACAAAACUGAAAUGGUGUUCACUGACUGACAUGGAGAAGCUUUUACAUGAAGAGCCAGGUUUACUUGGAUUGGAACCAUUAGAGUUUGCGAAUGAGAUUAUAAACAACAGCGAUUGGCAGUCAUCAUUUGCAUUGAAAGAAGUUUCUUUUGAAGAUGUCCUUCUUAAUAAUCUUUGCACCAAAUCACCAGAUGUUAGACCUCAUUAUAAACUUCUCUUAGAAUCUGCAAAAUUCAGUGAAAAAGAUGAACAACAAAUAUAUGCCGAUUAUAUGAGUUUCUGUUAUCCUAGUCAGUUUAUGAACAGAACUGUUUUUCAACAAUACCUUAAAUGCCUUGGAUGGACAGAUUCCACUUUAACUGGGCAAAUUUUUCAGGGACGUGACAGCUGUUGUAUAACAAGUGGUGGACUCUUGUAGUUGGCCUGUGCAUCUUUUGAGCCUUGACACAGUCUUCUCUCCUCCUAUAAUUCUUGUCCGUGAAGACAUGGAUUUUAGGCAAGUUUUUCCCACCUCCUAAAUUUGUAAACAAAUCUUCCAUUGCAAACGUGGAUCUACCUCAACAUUCUCCAUAUUUCUCAGUGCACUGGAUUCACUCAGCCGUGGGAUUCUCACCUAUAAAGAUGUAGUAUUGGGCCUUGCAGCCAUGGAACCAUGCAC
Molecule: unclassified non-coding RNA, 1230 nt
Filed under: Limulus polyphemus (Atlantic horseshoe crab)
Lineage: Eukaryota; Metazoa; Arthropoda; Merostomata; Xiphosura; Limulidae
Description: uncharacterized LOC106470767, transcript variant X4
Source: RNAcentral